Molecule: ribosomal RNA, 586 nt
Filed under: uncultured bacterium
Lineage: Bacteria
Description: partial 16S ribosomal RNA
Rfam family: Bacterial small subunit ribosomal RNA
Source: RNAcentral
UGGGGAAUUUUGGACAAUGGGCGAAAGCCUGAUCCAGCAAUGCCGCGUGUGUGAAGAAGGCCUUCGGGUUGUAAAGCACUUUUGUCCGGAAAGAAAUCCUUGGCUCUAAUACAGUCGGGGGAUGACGGUACCGGAAGAAUAAGCACCGGCUAACUACGUGCCAGCAGCCGCGGUAAUACGUAGGGUGCAAGCGUUAAUCGGAAUUACUGGGCGUAAAGCGUGCGCAGGCGGUUUGCUAAGACCGAUGUGAAAUCCCCGGGCUCAACCUGGGAACUGCAUUGGUGACUGGCAGGCUAGAGUAUGGCAGAGGGGGGUAGAAUUCCACGUGUAGCAGUGAAAUGCGUAGAGAUGUGGAGGAAUACCGAUGGCGAAGGCAGCCCCCUGGGCCAAUACUGACGCUCAUGCACGAAAGCGUGGGGAGCAAACAGGAUUAGAUACCCUGGUAGUCCACGCCCUAAACGAUGUCAACUAGUUGUUGGGGAUUCAUUUCCUUAGUAACGUAGCUAACGCGUGAAGUUGACCGCCUGGGGGAGUACGGUCGCAAGAUUAAAACUUAAAUGAAUUGACGGGGUCAUAGCUGUUUCCU